This 28-nucleotide non-coding RNA is filed under the name Mus musculus (house mouse). The record is from RNAcentral. Lineage: Eukaryota; Metazoa; Chordata; Mammalia; Rodentia; Muridae.
UGAUUCAACUUUGGUACCUGGUAUAUAU